GGGAAACUGGAAUAUUAAAGUGGGAAUGGAUCCAGUUAGGUUUCCCUUUGAGAAGUUAAUUAGUAAUUUGCAAUAAAUUAGAAUGCUGUAAAAGAAGUUCAAAAUCCAGGACCUUUGGUCUGCUAAGGCAAGAAAAAUCAAAACUGAAAACUGGCCGAUCUGUACAAGGACUUGGGAGACGCAAGAGGAGAAGGCUGACCCUGGACUCUCGCUGGGAGAGGAAUCCCACAUCAUGUUGACUUCCAAUGCCCUCUGGCCUCUGCUUAUUUGGCUGUCCAUCCGCUGGCUGACCGUGCAAGCAACGAUGGAGCCCAAUUGCACUCAUGUUGCUGACUUCGGUAGCUGUCUAGGCAACGAUGCACUGGACUUCUGCCCCCAUGGGAUCAGCUGUGGCUGCAAAGACCAAAAGCCCUUCUGCAACUGCCCUUCUUACCAAAAAGGCUGGCAAAAUUAUUGGUACCUCGGUCCCAAAUGUGAGCAGCUUUGGAGUACCUUGGACCUGAUUAUCGUCGUCGUUCUGCCUGCAAUAGCCCUGUCUGUGACCAGUGCCGUGGCAGUGCAGUGGGUCAACUACUGCAAAAACAAGGAGGGAAGAGGCGUAAAACGACGCAGUGCUCCUCCAAGAGAACAUACCCCUCGAGGACAACCUAACACGGCAUACGUUCCUAAACCAGUUGAUAGAUAUGUACCACAACCACAGGGAAGAAAGGAUGAUGGCAUCACUCAAAAUUUUAAAUUCCCCAAACUGUCAACCCAAAACAAUGCUUAUGACCAAACUGAGUCACCGCACUUUGGAGGUUUCAGCUAUGCUCCACAUCAGCCGCUGAGAAGAGCUGUUCAAAUGGGAAAUAAUCAUCGUUUUCCGGGCCCGCCUCCUCAACGCAGCAAUGUGGACAACUAUGAGGAUUACGAGGAAGAAAACCCAUUUACAGCUAUGGCUAUGCAACCAUUUCCAACAUCAGGUUCCUCGGGGUUUCCUCGGCCCGACUACAAUGAGCCAAACCAUUACCCGAACGGGGCAAGGAACCCGUACAGCUUUGGGCGCCCUCAGAUUAAAUAUACCUAAAAGAUAGGGAUGGAUACAACCAACGCACAGGACUUGGGACCUUCACCAUUCGUUUUCCAACUGUUGAUCUUCUCCUACUUUCUUCCUAAACGUGAUUGUAAGGCUACCUGUCCAUACCCUAAAAAACUAAAAAAAAAAACCUAGAUAUCCUUGCCUCCUUUAAUAAAAUGCUAGCAUAAGAUU
This is a long non-coding RNA of Anolis carolinensis (green anole), 1249 nucleotides long. RefSeq lists it as uncharacterized. The transcript is spliced from 7 exons. Lineage: Eukaryota; Metazoa; Chordata; Lepidosauria; Squamata; Anolidae. The record is from RefSeq and is a predicted model, not a curated record.